AGGCUCUUCCCCUGGAAACACAUAUAUUGUAAAUAAAUAUUUUGCCGUUUCCAUCAACUUUAUCACGUGAUGUUCUAUAACUGUUGUCUUGUACACUAUCCAUAGUGUAAGUCAGCUGGCUCGAGGAAUUUUCAUAUAGUAUUAUCAUUAAACAACAUACCCUAUGCAACAGUUAUGUUGCUACCCAGACAAAACUAUUUUUAUAUUCUAUGUUAAAUGUAAACGAUCAGUUUUUAUUAUAAAUACAAAACCACCUUUUAAGCGGUAAUACCUAUCACGCAUUAAACAACAUAUAUGAACAACCAUGUGAUUAUAAAGUCUCACGUUGGUUCCUCCGUGCAACUUCAUGCCUGACUUACAUUCAUAUUGUUCUUUCACCACACUUACGCUUCUCCAAAUUUAGAAAGAAGCUGUGUACACAGUGUUCUUGCGAGUUACAAUAACGCGUCCGGUUUGGCGGCAACUUCAAAGAGUGGACAUAUGGUUGCUCCUUCAGGUAGCUAUAAUUACCCUCUCUAUAAUGCAAUAUCGUAUUAUCCAUUUGUAAUGAAUGAUAGUAACACUAAAUCGGAUUGGAUUCAGUUAAAUCUACAUUUCUCAAGGUCUCUAACAUCGAGAUUUGAAAUAUCUUUCAUGUAAAUACCUUCUUUGUCAUGUGACUUGUAUAUAUUCGUGUAUAUUCAGAAUCGUACCUACGCACAAUGUCUUUGAACAAUGGCACAAGCAACGUGGUCUCUUUCUGUAAAACAUAGCACUCUUUAUUUCAGCCACAGCAAAGAUCCCGAACCACGUGCAGUCAGCAGAGUUACAGCGUCUGGUUACCGUCUUGCAGUUACGAUACAGAAUAUGUGCACAAAGCUUUCAAUGACCAGACGAAAAAAAGAAUUCAUUUCAAGUAUGUUGAGAAGAAAACGACCCAUCUCUGAAAAAAUCACCUCACCCAAGAAAAUACGACUCAUUCAUGAGAAUGAAAAGUGCAAAGUCUCCCAAGAAAUUGUCUUGUAAUAUAGCAUGUGAAUAAAUAAUUUUUUGAA
Long non-coding RNA from Haliotis rufescens (red abalone), 1034 nucleotides. RefSeq lists it as uncharacterized. The record is from RefSeq and is a predicted model, not a curated record. Lineage: Eukaryota; Metazoa; Mollusca; Gastropoda; Lepetellida; Haliotidae. The transcript is spliced from 3 exons.